UACGUAGGGUGCAAGGCGUUAAUCGGAAUUACUGGGCGUAAAGCGUGCGCAGGCGGUGAUGUAAGACAGAUGUGAAAUCCCCGGGCUCAACCUGGGAACUGCAUUUGUGACUGCAUCGCUGGAGUGCGGCAGAGGGGGAUGGAAUUCCGCGUGUAGCAGUGAAAUGCGUAGAUAUGCGGAGGAACACCGAUGGCGAAGGCAAUCCCCUGGGCCUGCACUGACGCUCAUGCACGAAAGCGUGGGGAGCAAACAGG
This 254-nucleotide ribosomal RNA is filed under the name uncultured bacterium. RNAcentral describes it as "partial 16S ribosomal RNA". It matches the Rfam family "Bacterial small subunit ribosomal RNA", at positions 524 to 776 of the family's 1533-position model. The record is from RNAcentral.